AGUGAACGCUGGCGGUAGGCCUAACACAUGCAAGUCGAACGGCAGCACAGGAGAGCUUGCUCUCUGGGUGGCGAGUGGCGGACGGGUGAGGAAUACAUCGGAAUCUACUUUUUCGUGGGGGAUAACGUAGGGAAACUUACGCUAAUACCGCAUACGACCUACGGGUGAAAGCAGGGGACAUUCGGGCCUUUCGCUAUUGAAUGAGCCGAUGUCGGAUUAGCUAGUGGGCGGGGUAAAGGCCCACCAAGGCGACGAUCCGUAGCUGGUCUGAGAGGAUGAUCAGCCACACUGGAACUGAGACACGGUCCAGACUCCUACGGGAGGCAGCAGUGGGGAAUAUUGGACAAUGGGCGCAAGCCUGAUCCAGCCAUACCGCGUGGGUGAAGAAGGCCUUCGGGUUGUAAAGCCCUUUUGUUGGGAAAGAAAUCCAGCUGGCUAAUACCCGGUUGGGAUGACGGUACCCAAAGAAUAAGCACCGGCUAACUUCGUGCCAGCCGCCGCCGUAA
RNAcentral lists this ribosomal RNA (506 nucleotides) under uncultured bacterium. RNAcentral's name for it is "partial 16S ribosomal RNA". It matches the Rfam family "Bacterial small subunit ribosomal RNA", at positions 29 to 523 of the family's 1533-position model. The record is from RNAcentral.